AUGCUCUUUGCGGAUGAUGUGGUGCUAGUUGACGAUAGUCGGACGGGGGUAAAUAGGAAGUUAGAGUUAUGGAGACAAACCUUGGAAUCGAAAGGGUUUAGGCUUAGUAGAACUAAAACCGAGUACAUGAUGUGCGGUUUCAGUACUACUAGCUGUGAGGAGGAGGAGGUUAGCCUUGAUGGCCAGGUGGUACCUCGGAAGGACACCUUUCGGUAUUUGGGGUCAAUAUUGCAGGAGGAUGGGGGUAUUGAUGAAGAUGUGAACCAUCGAAUCAAAGCCGGAUGGAUGAAGUGGCGCCAAGCUUCUGGCAUUCUCUGUGACAAGAGAGUGCCACAAAAGCUAAAAGGCAAGUUCUACAGGACGGCGGUUCGACCCGCAAUGUUGUAUGGCGCGGAGUGUUGGCCGACUAAAAGACGACAUGUUCAACAGUUAGGUGUGGCGGAGAUGCGUAUGUUGAGAUGGAUGUGUGGCCACACGAGGAAGGAUCGAGUCCGGAAUGAUGAUAUACGAGAUAGAGUUGGGGUAGCACCAAUUGAGGAGAAGCUUGUCCAACAUCGUUUGAGAUGGUUUGGGCAUAUUCAGCGCAGGCCUCCAGAAGCUCCAGUGCAUAGCGGACGGCUAAAGCGUGCGGAGAAUGUCAAGAGAGGGCGGGGUCGACCGAUUUUGACAUGGGAGGAGUCCGUUAAGAGAGACCUGAAGGAUUGGAGUAUCGACAAAGAGCUAGCUAUGGACAGGGGUGCGUGGAAGCUUGCUAUCCAUGUGCCAGAGCCAUGA
RNAcentral lists this ribosomal RNA (774 nucleotides) under Triticum aestivum (bread wheat). RNAcentral describes it as "partial small subunit ribosomal RNA". The record is from RNAcentral. Lineage: Eukaryota; Viridiplantae; Streptophyta; Magnoliopsida; Poales; Poaceae.